This 443-nucleotide ribosomal RNA is filed under the name uncultured bacterium. RNAcentral's name for it is "partial 16S ribosomal RNA". It matches the Rfam family "Bacterial small subunit ribosomal RNA", at positions 338 to 795 of the family's 1533-position model. The record is from RNAcentral.
CCUACGGGUGACAGCAGUGGGGAAUAUUGGACAAUGGGGGGAACCCUGAUCCAGCGACGCCGCGUGAGUGAAGAAGUAUUUCGGUAUGUAAAGCUCUAUCAGCAGGGAAGAAAGAAAUGACGGUACCUGACUAAGAAGCCCCGGCUAACUACGUGCCAGCAGCCGCGGUAAUACGUAGGGGGCAAGCGUUAUCCGGAUUUACUGGGUGUAAAGGGAGCGUAGACGGCGAUGCAAGUCUGAAGUGAAAGGCGGGGGCCCAACCCCCGGACUGCUUUGGAAACUGUAUGGCUGGAGUGCAGGAGAGGUAAGUGGAAUUCCUAGUGUAGCGGUGAAAUGCGUAGAUAUUAGGAGGAACACCGGUGGCGAAGGCGGCCUGCUGGACUGCAACUGACGUUGAGGCCCGAAAGCGUGGGGAGCAAACAGGAUUAGAUACCCUAGUAGUC